This 437-nucleotide ribosomal RNA is filed under the name uncultured Pseudomonadota bacterium. RNAcentral's name for it is "bacterial SSU rRNA". It matches the Rfam family "Bacterial small subunit ribosomal RNA", at positions 917 to 1359 of the family's 1533-position model. Lineage: Bacteria; Pseudomonadati; Pseudomonadota. The record is from RNAcentral.
GGACCCGCACAAGCGGUGGAUGAUGUGGUUUAAUUCGAUGCAACGCGAAAACCUUACCUACCCUUGACAUGUCAGGAAUCCUUCAGAGAUGAGGGAGUGCUCGCAAGAGAACCUGAACACAGGUGCUGCAUGGCUGUCGUCAGCUCGUGUCGUGAGAUGUUGGGUUAAGUCCCGCAACGAGCGCAACCCUUGUCAUUAGUUGCUACGAAAGGGCACUCUGAUGAGACUGCCGGUGACAAACCGGAGGAAGGUGGGGAUGACGUCAAGUCCUCAUGGCCCUUAUGGGUAGGGCUACACACGUCAUACAAUGGCUGGUACAAAGGGCUGCCAACCCGCGAGGGGGAGCCAAUCCUAUAAAACCAGUCGUAGUCCGGAUUGCACUCUGCAACUCGAGUGCAUGAAGUCGGAAUCGCUAGUAAUCGUGGAUCAGCAUGUCA